Cucumis melo (muskmelon) is the source of this 3682-nucleotide RNA transcript. It is a transcript of the gene named putative disease resistance RPP13-like protein 1, with no coding region annotated. The transcript has 3 exons. The record is from RefSeq and is a predicted model, not a curated record. NCBI's taxonomy places the organism in Eukaryota, Viridiplantae, Streptophyta, Magnoliopsida, Cucurbitales, Cucurbitaceae.
UUAUAACAAUCCCUCAUCCCUUACCAAACUCUUCACUACCCCUUCUUCCAAAACCUUUCACUAUGGCUGAAGCUAUUCUCUACAACUUUACUGCAGACAUCAUAUUCACAUUGGGCUCUUCCGCACUCCAAGAGAUUGGAUCCCUAUGGCGUGUCAAUUCUGAACUUCACAAACUCAAACACUCUCUUUCUGCAAUUCAAGCCGUGCUUCACGAUGCAGAGGAGCAACAAUCCAAGAACAAUCAAGUCAAAGAUUGGGUUUUAAAGCUUCAAGAUGUUUUGUACGAGAUUGAUGACUUGAUCGACGAGUCCUCUUACCAAACCUUGAGAAGGCAAGUUCUGGCCAAACACCGUAGAUACAGAAAACAAGUACGUAUCCUCUUCUCCAAAUUUAAAUCUAAUUGGAAAAUAGGCCACAAAAUCAAGGAAAUUAGGCAGAGGCUGCAAGCUAUUAAUGAAGAUAAAAAUCAAUUUAGCUUUCGUAAGCAUGUGAUAGAGAGAAGAGAUGAUGAUGAAGGGUUGAGAAAGAGACGGGAGACUCACUCUUUUAUACUUGAAGACGAAGUGAUUGGUAGGAAUGAUGACAAGGAAGCAGUCAUAGAUCUUCUACUAAAUUCCAACACCAAAGAGGAUAUUGCAAUAGUUUCCAUUGUUGGAAUGGGAGGAUUGGGAAAGACUGCCCUUGCUCGAUCUAUUUAUAACCAUAAGAGGAUAAUGACUCGAUUUUCGUUGAAACUAUGGGUGUGUGUUUCUGACGCAUUUGAUCUCGAAAUUAUUGUCCAAAAGAUAAUAGAGUCUGCAACCGGGAAGAAGUCUGGAUACCUUCAAAUAGAUUCAUUACAAUGUGAGCUUAGAAAGCACAUUGAUGGAAAUAAAUAUUUGUUUGUCAUGGAUGAUGUGUGGAAUGAGAAAAAAGAGGAAUGGUUGCAUCUAAAAGAAUUGCUUAUGGCCGGUGCAAAGGGUAGUAGGAUUUUGAUCACAACACGCAGUGAACAAGUUGCUAAAACUUUUGACUCUACUUUUGUUCAUCCAUUACAAAUUUUGGAUGCAUCUAAUUCUUGGUUGUUGUUUCAAAAGAUGACAGGUUUGGAAGAACUUUCAAAUAAUCAAGAGGCUGAGAUUGAUCAAACGAAUUUAAACUUGAUCCAAAUUGGCAAGGAGAUUUUAUCAAGGUUAAAAGGUGUUCCGCUCGUAAUAAGAACUAUUGGAGGACUUUUAAAAGAUAAUAAAUCAGAAAGAUUUUGGUUGUCUUUCAAGGAUAAGGAACUUUAUCAAGUUUUGAGACAAGGACAAGACGCUCUAAAAGAAAUGAAAUAUAUUCUUGAGCUUAGCUAUAAAUAUCUUCCUGCUAACUUGAAGCAAUGUUUCUUAUAUUGUGCUUUGUUUCCCAAAGAUUUUGAAGUUCCAAAGAUUUCACUUAUACUAUUAUGGAGGUCACAAGGUUAUAUUCAACCAAAUGGCAAUAAGGACAAUAACCUCGUUGAUAUCGGUGAUGGUUACUUCAUGGAGUUAUUAUCAAGGUCAUUUUUUCAAGACGUUAAAAAAGAUGAUUCUGGAGACAUAGUAGCAUGUAAGAUGCAUGAUAUGAUGCAUGAUCUUGCUUGUUCGUUAACAAAUAAUGAAUGUGUGCAUGGACUGAAGGGGAAUAUCAUCAACAAAAGAACUCGUCACUUUGUUUUGGAAGACAAAGAUUAUCAUGAAGAUCAACUUAUGAGACCAUUAUCUAAGGCAACACAUUUGAGGACAUUAUUUUAUAGAAAAGAAGAAGAUGUAAUUGGUUCACAAUGGAACUUUGAAGAAACCUUCCGUAGUAUUUUCCGAUUUCGAACGGUGCACUUAGAAGGGUAUGAUCAAAACCCAAAAGCAAAAGCUUUGGAGUUUAUCGGUAAAUUUAAACAUUUGAGAUUUUUGAGUAUUACUUAUUCAAAUAUUCCGUAUCUUCCAGAUUCCAUUACGAAGUUGUAUUAUUUAGAAACAUUUUUCUUUCAAUGUUCACAUAAUUUAGAAAAUUUACCCAAUGAUGUGGGAAACUUGAUCAACCUUAAGCAUUUGGAUCUUUCUCAUAAUUCUACUUUAGAAUUCCUUCCCGAUUCUAUUACUGAGUUGUGUAAGUUGGAAGCACUUAUCCUUAAGGGUUGUGAAAAAUUAAAGAGAUUGCCGAAAAAUAUAAAAAAUUGCAACAAUCUUAGGCAACUUGAUCUUUCUCACAAUGAGAGAAUAGAAUUUCUUCCUGAUUCUAUUACUCAAUUGAUUAAUUUGGAAACACUUAUCCUCUCUUGGUGUAUAAACUUAAAAGAACUGCCAGAAGAUACUAAAAGGUUGAUCAACCUUAAGCAGCUUUAUUUGGAGAUUUGCACCGCUCUCACUCAUAUGCCAAAAGGAUUAGGUGAGCUGACUAAUCUUCAAACAUUGAAUACAUUUGUAUUGGGAAAUAAUAAGGGUGGCGAGUUAAAGGAGUUGGAUGGACUUACCAAAUUAAGAGGAAAAUUAAGCAUUGAACAUUUGGAAUUUUGUACCAAUAUCGUUGAUCAUAAAAUGAAAGGUAAGUUCUUGCAACUAAAGUCUGGUCUCCAAGAGUUGAAGUUACAUUGGGAGAAACAUACAAUUGGUGAGUUGGAGGAUGUGAUCUACGAAAGUGUUUUAGAUUGCUUACAACCACAUUCAAAUCUUCAAAAGAUAUAUAUUGAUGGAUAUGGUGGAGUGAAUUUAUGUAAUUGGGUAGUAUCCCCUAAGUUCCUUGGUUGUCUUGUCACUAUGCGUCUUUGUAAUUGUGAAAGAUUACGACAUCUCCCCAAAUUCGAUCAAUUUCCUAAUCUCAAGCAUCUUUACCUUAUAGACUUACCCAACAUCGAGUACAUUAUUGCAAAUAAUGAUGAUUCUGUUUCUUCAUCAACAAAUUUUCCAUCCUUGGAGAACUUGAUUAUUUUGAACAUGCCUAAGUUAGUGAGCUGGUGCAAGGGUACAACGUCAACCAAAUCUUCUAUAACCAAAUCUUCUAUAAUAAUAUUUCCUUACCAUUAUAUGAUAUCUCUGCAAUCUCUCCUUCUAAAGAACUGUCAAAAUUUAAAGAGCUUACCAGAAUGGAUUGGCAACCUCACCUCACUUACAAGUUUAUAUAUUAGCUUUUGUAAAAAGCUAACUAUGCUACCAGAAGGGAUUCGACAUACCCAUAAUUUAAAAUAUUUAGCGAUUUAUGAUUGUCCCAUGUUGAGAGAAAGGUGCAAGAAACACACCGGAGAAGAUUGGCCUAAGAUCUCCCAUAUUCCAAACAUCUUUCUUUGAAGAAUAUUUUAUCAGCUUCAUUGAGUCUGCCGCUGUUACAACAUGCUCUCACACAAAAGAUGUAUCGGGGAAGGAAAAAGAGCUAAUUAGCUAAGCUACCGAAAGACUUUCAUUCCGAACAAGUUUAAGCUUUUCCUUUGGCCAAUCUUUCCCUUGUGGUGAGGUGAACAUUCCGUCGACAAAGUUGUGUGUUAUCAUGGUCUCUUAGUUUAUUUGAGAUAUGAUGAGAGUGCUAAGCAUGUGUCAACCUGGUUUGAGAUAUCUAGUGCAUCUUUUAUAUGGUUCUUUAUAUGUCGUCCCUUAGUCAUUUCUUGCUACUGACACAUUAUUAUUUGUUGGGUACAUUAUUAUCUUUGAUAGUAGAAAUUUUGACUACGGUCACGUGGUUUUUUACUCAUCAA